Gigantopelta aegis is the source of this 275-nucleotide long non-coding RNA. RefSeq lists it as uncharacterized. Lineage: Eukaryota; Metazoa; Mollusca; Gastropoda; Neomphalida; Peltospiridae. The transcript is spliced from 3 exons. The record is from RefSeq and is a predicted model, not a curated record.
UUGUUCUCAAACUCCUCUCCCAAGCCCAUCAGGGAAUAAAACAACUUGUCUCUAGUGUUCAGGUUUAUUUCUCCUGCUAAGAUUAUAUUGUCAGGCCAGAUUUCAUUUUUAAAGGUGGAACUGCAAGUAUUAUUUGAAAGUGGAUAUUAUCUGAAAGAUUGUCCUGUUCUCUUUCUGUGUGCUGGAGAAUCCAGUUUAUCUUACACCCAGGUGUCAUCUACCUGGGUGUUUUUCCUUGUCUUCAUUUUGUGUGACAUCGAAUAAAUUGUCUGGAC